This 480-nucleotide ribosomal RNA is filed under the name uncultured bacterium. Its description in RNAcentral is "partial 16S ribosomal RNA". It matches the Rfam family "Bacterial small subunit ribosomal RNA", at positions 28 to 507 of the family's 1533-position model. The record is from RNAcentral.
GACGAACGCUGGCGGCGUGCUUAACACAUGCAAGUCGAACGAUGAAGAAAAGAAUCGAAGCUUCGGCAGAAAUUCAUUUCGGAUUAGUGGCAGACGGGUGAGUAACGCGUGAGCAACCUACCUCUUACAAAGGGAUAGCCUCGGGAAACCGGGAUUAAUACCAUAUAACAUUGCGACGAAGCAUUUCGAUGCAAUCAAAGCUACGGCGGUAAGAGAUGGGCUCGCGUCCCAUUAACCGGAUGGUGAGGUAACGGCUCACCAUAGUGACGAUGGGUAACCGGCCUGAGAGGGUGAACGGUCACACUGGAACUGAGACACGGUCCAGACUCCUACGGGAGGCAGAAGUGGGGAAUAGUGCACAAUGGAGGGAACUCUGAUGCAGCGACGCCGCGUGAGUGAUGAAGGAAUUCGUUUCGUAAAACUCUGUUCUAUGGGAAGAAAAGGACUGUACCAUAGGAGAAAGCUCCGGCUAAAUACGUG